UCCGGCUUGACGCCGGCAGUCCCCCGAGAGUCCUCAGCAUGACCUGUUAGUAACACGGGGCAAGGGUUGCGCUCGUUGCGGGACUUAACCCAACAUCUCACGACACGAUCUGACGACAGCCAUGCAGCACCUGUGCAGGAUCUCCGAAGAGGGGCUCUCGUUUCUGAGAGCUUGCUCCUGCAUGUCAAGCCUAGGUAAGGUUCUUCGCGUUGCGUCGAAUUAAACCACAUGCUCCACCGCUUGUGCGGGCCCCCGUCAAUUCCUUUGAGUUUUAGCCUUGCGGCCGUAGUCCCCAGGCGGAGUACUUAUCGCGUUAGCUGCGGCACCGAGAGGGUCGAUACCCCCGACACCUAGUGCUCAUCGUUUACAGCGUGGACUAC
This 380-nucleotide unclassified non-coding RNA is filed under the name uncultured bacterium. RNAcentral describes it as "contains 16S-23S intergenic spacer region". The record is from RNAcentral.